GGGCCCGCACAAGCAGCGGAGCAUGUGGUUUAAUUCGAAGCAACGCGAAGAACCUUACCUGGACUUGACAUACCCUGAAUAUCUUAGAGAUAAGAGAAGCCCUUCGGGGCAGGGAUACAGGUGGUGCAUGGUUGUCGUCAGCUCGUGUCGUGAGAUGUUAGGUUAAGUCCUGCAACGAGCGCAACCCCUGUUGUUAGUUGCUAACAUUUAGUUGAGCACUCUAGCAAGACUGCCGCGGUUAACGCGGAGGAAGGUGGGGAUGACGUCAAAUCAUCAUGCCCCUUAUGUCCAGGGCAACACACGUGCUACAAUGGGCAGUACAGAGAGAAGCAAGACCGCAAGGUGGAGCAAACCUCAAAAACUGCCCCCAGUUCGGAUUGCAGGCUGAAACUCGCCUACAUGAAGUUGGAGUUGCUAGUAAUCGCGAAUCAGAAUGUCGCGGUGAAUACGUUCCCGGGCCUUGUACACACCGCCCGUCACACCAUGAGAGCUGGCAACACCCGAAGUCCGUAGUCUAACUUAGGAGGACGCGGCCGAAGGUGGGGUUAGUAAUUGGGGUGAAGUCGUAACAAGGUAGCCGUAGGAGAACCUGCGGCU
Molecule: ribosomal RNA, 597 nt
Filed under: uncultured Clostridium sp.
Lineage: Bacteria; Bacillati; Bacillota; Clostridia; Eubacteriales; Clostridiaceae
Description: bacterial SSU rRNA
Rfam family: Bacterial small subunit ribosomal RNA
Source: RNAcentral